This 460-nucleotide ribosomal RNA is filed under the name uncultured bacterium. RNAcentral's name for it is "partial 16S ribosomal RNA". It matches the Rfam family "Bacterial small subunit ribosomal RNA", at positions 338 to 795 of the family's 1533-position model. The record is from RNAcentral.
CCUACGGGCGGCAGCAGUGAGGAAUAUUUGUCAAUGGACGAGAGUCUGAACCAGCCAAGUAGCGUGAAGGAUGACUGCCCUAUGGGUUGUAAACUUCUUUUAUAUGGGAAUAAAAUGUUCAACGUGUGGGAUUUUGUAUGUACCAUAUGAAUAAGGAUCGGCUAACUCCGUGCCAGCAGCCGCGGUAAUACGGAGGAUCCGAGCGUUAUCCGGAUUUAUUGGGUUUAAAGGGAGCGUAGGUGGAUUGUUAAGUCAGUUGUGAAAGUUUGCGGCUCAACCGUAAAAUUGCAGUUGAAACUGGCAGUCUUGAGUACAGUAGAGGUGGGCGGAAUUCGUGGUGUAGCGGUGAAAUGCUUAGAUAUCACGAAGAACUCCGAUUGCGAAGGCAGUUCACUGGACUGCAACUGACACUGAGGCUCGAAAGUGUGGGUAUCAAACAGGAUUAGAUACCCUUGUAGUC